This 97-nucleotide microRNA precursor is filed under the name Sus scrofa (pig). RNAcentral's name for it is "mir-544 microRNA precursor family". It matches the Rfam family "mir-544 microRNA precursor family". Lineage: Eukaryota; Metazoa; Chordata; Mammalia; Artiodactyla; Suidae. The record is from Rfam by way of RNAcentral.
AUCACCUGGGGAUCUUUUUAAAAUGUAGAUUCUGGGUCAAGGAGUCUUGGAUGGGCCUGAGAUUCUGCAUUUCUAAAAAGUUCCCAGGGGGUGCUAA